UCGAGAGUUUGAUCCUGGCUCAGGAUGAACGCUAGCGGCAGGCUUAACACAUGCAAGUCGAGGGGUAGAGGAAGCUUGCUUCCUUGAGACCGGCGCACGGGUGCGUAACGCGUAUGCAAUCUACCUUUUACAGAGGGAUAGCCCAGAGAAAUUUGGAUUAAUACCUCAUAGUAUGUGAGAAUCGCAUGGUUUUCACAUUAAAGUUCCAACGGUAUAAGAUGAGUAUGCGUCCCAUUAGCUAGAU
RNAcentral lists this ribosomal RNA (244 nucleotides) under uncultured Flavobacterium sp. Its description in RNAcentral is "partial 16S ribosomal RNA". It matches the Rfam family "Bacterial small subunit ribosomal RNA", at positions 1 to 250 of the family's 1533-position model. Lineage: Bacteria; Pseudomonadati; Bacteroidota; Flavobacteriia; Flavobacteriales; Flavobacteriaceae. The record is from RNAcentral.